GCUGACCUCUGGCGGCGUGCCUAAUACAUGCAAGUCGAGCGAACAGAUGAGGAGCUUGCUCCUCUGACGUUAGCGGCGGACGGGUGAGUAACACGUGGAUAACCUACCUAUAAGACUGGGAUAACUUCGGGAAACCGGAGCUAAUACCGGAUAAUAUAUUGAACCGCAUGGUUCAAUAGUGAAAGACGGUUUUGCUGUCACUUAUAGAUGGAUCCGCGCCGCAUUAGCUAGUUGGUAAGGUAACGGCUUACCAAGGCGACGAUGCGUAGCCGACCUGAGAGGGUGAUCGGCCACACUGGAACUGAGACACGGUCCAGACUCCUACGGGAGGCAGCAGUAGGGAAUCUUCCGCAAUGGGCGAAAGCUUGACGGAGCAACGCCGCGUGAGUGAUGAAGGUCUUCGGAUCGUAAAACUCUGUUAUUAGGGAAGAACAAAUGUGUAAGUAACUAUGCACGUCUUGACGGUACCUAAUCAGAAAGCCACGGCUAACUACGUG
RNAcentral lists this ribosomal RNA (497 nucleotides) under uncultured bacterium. Its description in RNAcentral is "partial 16S ribosomal RNA". It matches the Rfam family "Bacterial small subunit ribosomal RNA", at positions 28 to 507 of the family's 1533-position model. The record is from RNAcentral.